Perca fluviatilis (European perch) is the source of this 523-nucleotide long non-coding RNA. RefSeq lists it as uncharacterized. Lineage: Eukaryota; Metazoa; Chordata; Actinopteri; Perciformes; Percidae. The record is from RefSeq and is a predicted model, not a curated record. The transcript has 4 exons.
GCAAUUAGUUUUAAGAACUACAAUUAUUAGACAACUCAACUUAAUAUUUUUGGAGACUUUACUAAACAACUUAAAAGAACGAGUAAGUGGGUAGGACGUGACGUCAUUUCCUAACGGUUCUGGCUCAGAGAGCCGACACCAGGGAUGUGGCAUGGCGGGCUCAGCUACUCCACGGUCUUACUGGACUCCACCGACAAUACCUCAAAUGGAAAACAGCAGAAAAAGAAAAUAUGAGAGAAACUGGAGCGACAGGAAGGCGUGUGUGAGAAAGAGGGGAGGACACCAGCGAAGGACAGCAGGCCAUAUUUGAACUUAGGUCACAGCGUAAAGGACUGAGCCUCACAGGACACGAUCCACUAGCUAUCGAGGCUCCCUAGCUUUUAUUCCUCUUUAAGGUCAACGCAGAGUUUCAACAAAUCACCACCAUAAAUCUUGAGGCAAAAUUCAUGUCAAUUUUGGACCUUCAUUCCCCUAAACUCCUUUCCAGAGAGAAACAUCGUGCAGAAAUGAAUAUUUCCUACAG